UGUAGCCAUAACAUUUCUGUUAUCUGGUAUCAGCAAUGUUCAUGAACUAAGUUCAUUCCCUUUAGCCAGGUACUCUUAAACUCCAGAACUCCUCAGAGUCACUCAAAAGGUUCUGUUUGUGAGAACUGUAUCCAAGCUUUUCUUCCCAGCUCCCUCCUGCAUGUUCCCUGAAAAGCAAGAAUUCUUCUAUAUCAAAUCUUUCUAAGCUCCGUUCCCCUUGCCCACCAAAGGAUGUAAAUGCCUGCAAGCAUCUGAAAGGCUGAGUUUGUGAAUCACAGCACGCUGUGGUCAGCUGUGAGCUGGGCAAGGUGGGACUCACGUGGCUCUCACAGAUGGAAGCGACCUCUGGGCCAGCCCUUGCUGUCCACUCCAAUGUAACUGAGCUAAACAGGCUCAGCAGCUCUAGAUUCUGUGUCCAGCUCUGAUUUUUGGGGUAGAAAUCAGAUGACAUGCAGCUUAAAGCUUGAGUUUGUGUUUAAUUAGGGGAUUAUCUCAAAUCUGAAAUGGAGCUGCUUUGAAGCGUGUGAACCAAAGCUAGAUAAAGACUCCCACAAACCCCUGCACACUGGAAAUUUAUAGGGUUCGCCCUGUAUUUAUUUGCCGUGGCUCAGUUGGAGGUGAAAGGUAGAGCUCAGCUGCCACAGCUGGACUUUUUUUUUCUGGUGCACGUUUCUUUCUGCAGGCUGCUCUAAUUUGUUUGUUGAGCUGAUCAUCUGGAAUCAGAUUGGCCGGAGCUGGAAUCGCUCCGCUCCCUUAGCAAACACACGAGGUCUGCAGAGGUGUCUGCCUGCAUGGAACGAACCGAGCUGACUGGCACUUUAGCAUUCCCCUGUGUACGAGCGUCUUAGGAGAUAAAGAGGAUAAUAACCGUACCAGCUUCACCAGCCCGUGGAGAGAACAGCUGAAGAGAGCAUGUGAAAUUGCUGUGAUGAAUAGCAGAAGAGGGGAAGGCUUCUGGCAGUGAGGGAGAUCUAAGCAGCACAUCAGGCCAGGAAGCAAACUGAGAGAAAACUUUUUUGGCCAGGAUUGAAUUAGGAGUGGUGGAUGGUGUUAAAGAACUGAAAGCCAACAGGUUCUCUGUGCAAAAGAAAACCAAAGAAAAAUGAAUGCAUCAAAAUAUGUGACUUAAAUCUUGUCUAAAUUAAAGAAGAAACACUAAAGUGCUG
Molecule: long non-coding RNA, 1166 nt
Filed under: Junco hyemalis (dark-eyed junco)
Lineage: Eukaryota; Metazoa; Chordata; Aves; Passeriformes; Passerellidae
Description: lncRNA (ENSJHYG00000014078.1)
Source: RNAcentral